UAGCUCAACUGGAGUAGAGCAUGGCAUUACCACGGCCAGGGUUACGGGUUCAAUUCCCCGUC
RNAcentral lists this transfer RNA (62 nucleotides) under Merluccius polli (Benguela hake). RNAcentral's name for it is "tRNA-Gly". The record is from RNAcentral. Lineage: Eukaryota; Metazoa; Chordata; Actinopteri; Gadiformes; Merlucciidae.